UAUGAGGUAGUUUAAAAAAUUUCAAACUUUGAAUUUGAAGAUGGUAAUUAAAAAUUUACCCCUCAUAA
RNAcentral lists this transfer RNA (68 nucleotides) under Campanulotes compar (small pigeon louse). Its description in RNAcentral is "tRNA-Gln". It matches the Rfam family "tRNA". Rfam says of the family: Transfer RNA (tRNA) molecules are approximately 80 nucleotides in length. Their secondary structure includes four short double-helical elements and three loops (D, anti-codon, and T loops). Further hydrogen bonds mediate the characteristic L-shaped molecular structure. tRNAs have two regions of fundamental functional importance: the anti-codon, which is responsible for specific mRNA codon recognition, and the 3' end, to which the tRNAs corresponding amino acid is attached (by aminoacyl-tRNA synthetases). tRNAs cope with the degeneracy of the genetic code in two manners: having more than one tRNA (with a specific anti-codon) for a particular amino acid; and 'wobble' base-pairing, i.e. permitting non-standard base-pairing at the 3rd anti-codon position. The record is from RNAcentral. Lineage: Eukaryota; Metazoa; Arthropoda; Insecta; Psocodea; Philopteridae.